AUGGGCGAAAGCCUGAUCCAGCCAUGCCGCGUGUGUGAAGAAGGUCUUCGGAUUGUAAAGCACUUUAAGUUGGGAGGAAGGGUUGUAGAUUAAUACUCUGCAAUUUUGACGUUACCGACAGAAUAAGCACCGGCUAACUCUGUGCCAGCAGCCGCGGUAAUACAGAGGGUGCAAGCGUUAAUCGGAAUUACUGGGCGUAAAGCGCGCGUAGGUGGUUUGUUAAGUUGGAUGUGAAAUCCCCGGGCUCAACCUGGGAACUGCAUUCAAAACUGACUGACUAGAGUAUGGUAGAGGGUGGUGGAAUUUCCUGUGUAGCGGUGAAAUGCGUAGAUAUAGGAAGGAACACCAGUGGCGAAGGCGACCACCUGGACUAAUACUGACACUGAGGUGCGANAGCGUGGGGAGCAAACAGGAUUAGAUACCCUGGUAGUCCACGCCGUAAACGAUGUCAACUAGCCGUUGGAAGCCUUGAGCUUUUAGUGGCGCAGCUAACGCAUNAAGUUGACCGCCUGGGGAGUACGGCCGCAA
RNAcentral lists this ribosomal RNA (528 nucleotides) under bacterium E-1-48-9H. RNAcentral describes it as "bacterial SSU rRNA". It matches the Rfam family "Bacterial small subunit ribosomal RNA", at positions 371 to 891 of the family's 1533-position model. The record is from RNAcentral.